This is a long non-coding RNA of Lutra lutra (Eurasian river otter), 810 nucleotides long. RefSeq lists it as uncharacterized. NCBI's taxonomy places the organism in Eukaryota, Metazoa, Chordata, Mammalia, Carnivora, Mustelidae. The transcript has 3 exons. The record is from RefSeq and is a predicted model, not a curated record.
CACUACACAGAUUGCCUUCAUAGAAGGGAGGCAGUCAGCAAACACUCUUGGCCUGCAGCUCCCUCAGGGUCUGCUUCAGAAGAAGGGAGCCACCAUGACUUGGCCAUGCCCUUCAUGGCACAGACAAAAUUCAGUAACUAAAAGAGAAAGGACUAUAAAGGCCUGGCCAUGUUGGUCUGGUGCAGAACACACUGAUAGAGCUCUCUCCCAGGUUGGAUGAGGUUUUGUCAGGCCUCUAUUUCAGCUGACUUCUUCUCCUGCCUAAUCCUGUUACAUCUGCCGCGCUUCACAGCUAUGAAUGCUUAAUAAAUAUCCUGCACACCAAUCUCUGUCUCAGCAUCUGCUUGCAAAGAAAGCAGCCUGAGGAAAGGCCCCACGGGGAAGGUGACAUCUGAGCAAAGGAGGAGAGCAGGGAGCAAACCAUGUAGAAAUAUGGAAGAUCUCCUUUCCUGGAAAGGAACAGCAAGUGCUAAGACCCUGAGGUGAGUGUGGUUUUCUAGGGCUGGCAAAGCAGCUGGUGUGGCUGGAGCAGAGUGAGCAAGGAAUACAGAGAGAUGAGGAAGAAGGGUCACCAGACGGACCAUGUUAAGCCCUGAGGUCAUGGGAGAUGAAUGAAGAUGAACAGUGUCUGGGGAAGAGAGGAAGGUGCAAGAUGUGUUUGGAGGUCUGGCAAGGAGACUGAGAGUGAAACAGGUUUUUGCGCUAACGAGAAAGGAAAGAACAAGAAAGCAACUGAGGGUAAAGUAACUCCCACACAUUUCCGGAUCCAAACGCUCCUCACUCCCCGCUCACCUGAAAGUAAUCUCUGGG